This 2900-nucleotide ribosomal RNA is filed under the name Cronobacter sakazakii ES713. Its description in RNAcentral is "bacterial LSU rRNA". It matches the Rfam family "Bacterial large subunit ribosomal RNA". The record is from RNAcentral. Lineage: Bacteria; Pseudomonadati; Pseudomonadota; Gammaproteobacteria; Enterobacterales; Enterobacteriaceae.
ACAAGCGUACACGGUGGAUGCCCUGGCAGUCAGAGGCGAUGAAGGACGUGCUAAUCUGCGAAAAGCGCCGGUAAGGUGAUAUGAACCGUUAUAACCGGCGAUGUCCGAAUGGGGAAACCCGGUGCACUUCGGUGCAUCAUCGUUAGCUGAAUACAUAGGCUAACGAGGCGAACCGGGGGAACUGAAACAUCUAAGUACCCCGAGGAAAAGAAAUCAACCGAGAUUCCCCCAGUAGCGGCGAGCGAACGGGGAACAGCCCAGAGCCUGAAUCAGCUUGUGUGUCAGUGGAACGGUCUGGAAAGGCCGGCGAUACAGGGUGACAGCCCCGUACACGAAGGCACACAGGCUGUGAGCUCGAUGAGUAGGGCGGGACACGUGAUAUCCUGUCUGAAGAUGGGGGGACCAUCCUCCAAGGCUAAAUACUCCUGACUGACCGAUAGUGAACCAGUACCGUGAGGGAAAGGCGAAAAGAACCCCGGCGAGGGGAGUGAAACAGAACCUGAAACCGUGUACGUACAAGCAGUGGGAGCCUUCGUAAGAGGGUGACUGCGUACCUUUUGUAUAAUGGGUCAGCGACUUAUAUUCUGUAGCAAGGUUAACCGUAUAGGGGAGCCGAAGGGAAACCGAGUCUUAAUUGGGCGUUAAGUUGCAGGGUAUAGACCCGAAACCCGGUGAUCUAGCCAUGGGCAGGUUGAAGGUUGGGUAACACUAACUGGAGGACCGAACCGACUAAUGUUGAAAAAAUUAGCGGAUGACCUGUGGCUGGGGGUGAAAGGCCAAUCAAACCGGGAGAUAGCUGGUUCUCCCCGAAAGCUAUUUAGGUAGCGCCUCGUGAAUUCAUCGUCCGGGGGUAGAGCACUUGUUUCGGCUAGGGGGGCCAUCCCCGGCUUACCAACCCGAUGCAAACUGCGAAUACCGGAGAAUGUUAUCACGGGAGACACACGGCGGGUGCUAACGUCCGUCGUGAAGAGGGAAACAACCCAGACCGCCAGCUAAGGUCCCAAAGUCAUGGUUAAGUGGGAAACGAUGUGGGAAGGCCCAGACAGCCAGGAUGUUGGCUUAGAAGCAGCCAUCAUUUAAAGAAAGCGUAAUAGCUCACUGGUCGAGUCGGCCUGCGCGGAAGAUGUAACGGGGCUAAACCAUGCACCGAAGCUGCGGCAGCGACACUAUGUGUUGUUGGGUAGGGGAGCGUUCUGUAAGCCUGCGAAGGUGUGCUGUGAGGCAUGCUGGAGGUAUCAGAAGUGCGAAUGCUGACAUAAGUAACGAUAAAGCGGGUGAAAAGCCCGCUCGCCGGAAGACCAAGGGUUCCUGUCCAACGUUAAUCGGGGCAGGGUGAGUCGACCCCUAAGGCGAGGCCGAAAGGCGUAGUCGAUGGGAAACAGGUUAAUAUUCCUGUACUUGGUGUUACUGCGAAGGGGGGACGGAGAAGGCUAUGUCGGCCGGGCGACGGUUGUCCCGGUUUAAGCGUGUAGGCUGACUUUCCAGGCAAAUCCGGAAGGUUAAGGCUGAGGCGUGAUGACGAGGCACCACGGUGCUGAAGUGACAAAUGCCCCGCUUCCAGGAAAGCCUCUAAGCAUCAGGUAACAUCAAAUCGUACCCCAAACCGACACAGGUGGUCAGGUAGAGAAUACCAAGGCGCUUGAGAGAACUCGGGUGAAGGAACUAGGCAAAAUGGUGCCGUAACUUCGGGAGAAGGCACGCUGACAUGUAGGUGAAGCCCCUGCGGGUGGAGCUGAAGUCAGUCGAAGAUACCAGCUGGCUGCAACUGUUUAUUAAAAACACAGCACUGUGCAAACACGAAAGUGGACGUAUACGGUGUGACGCCUGCCCGGUGCCGGAAGGUUAAUUGAUGGGGUUAUCGCAAGAGAAGCUCCUGAUCGAAGCCCCGGUAAACGGCGGCCGUAACUAUAACGGUCCUAAGGUAGCGAAAUUCCUUGUCGGGUAAGUUCCGACCUGCACGAAUGGCGUAAUGAUGGCCAGGCUGUCUCCACCCGAGACUCAGUGAAAUUGAACUCGCUGUGAAGAUGCAGUGUACCCGCGGCAAGACGGAAAGACCCCGUGAACCUUUACUACAGCUUGACACUGAACAUUGAGCCUUGAUGUGUAGGAUAGGUGGGAGGCUUUGAAGCGUGGACGCCAGUCUGCGUGGAGCCGACCUUGAAAUACCACCCUUUAAUGUUUGAUGUUCUAACCUGGCGCCGUGAUCCGGCGUGGGGACAGUGUCGUGGUGGGUAGUUUGACUGGGGCGGUCUCCUCCCAAAGUGUAACGGAGGAGCACGAAGGUCAGCUAAUCCUGGUCGGACAUCAGGAGGUUAGUGCAAUGGCAUAAGCUGGCUUGACUGCGAGAGUGACGGCUCGAGCAGGUGCGAAAGCAGGUCAUAGUGAUCCGGUGGUUCUGUAUGGAAGGGCCAUCGCUCAACGGAUAAAAGGUACUCCGGGGAUAACAGGCUGAUACCGCCCAAGAGUUCAUAUCGACGGCGGUGUUUGGCACCUCGAUGUCGGCUCAUCACAUCCUGGGGCUGAAGUAGGUCCCAAGGGUAUGGCUGUUCGCCAUUUAAAGUUAGGUACGCGAGCUGGGUUUAGGUAACGUCGUGAGACAGUUCGGUCCCUAUCUGCCGUGGGCGCUGGAGAAUUGAGGGGGGCUGCUCCCCAGUACGAGAGGACCGGAGUGGACGCAUCACUGGUGUUCGGGUUGUCAUGCCAAUGGCACUGCCCGGUAGCUAAAUGCGGAAGAGAUAAGUGCUGAAAGCAUCUAAGCACGAAACUUGCCCCGAGAUGAGUUCUCCCUGAGACUGUAAGUCUCCUGAAGGAACGUUGAAGACGACGACGUUGAUAGGCCGGGUGUGUAAGCGCAGCGAUGCGUUGAGCUAACCGGUACUAAUGAACCGUGAGGCUUAACC